Molecule: transfer RNA, 74 nt
Filed under: Escherichia coli
Lineage: Bacteria; Pseudomonadati; Pseudomonadota; Gammaproteobacteria; Enterobacterales; Enterobacteriaceae
Description: tRNA-OTHER
Rfam family: tRNA
About the family: Transfer RNA (tRNA) molecules are approximately 80 nucleotides in length.
Source: RNAcentral
GCGGGUAUAGUAUAAUGGUCAGUACUGCAACCUUCGUGUUGAUGAUGUGGGUUCAAUUCCCUCUACCCGCUCCA